GUCUUUUAUGAUUAUUUAUUUAAAGUCAGGCCUGCUCUAUGAUUUAUUAAAUGGCCGCAGUAUACUAACUGUGCAAAGGUAGCAUGAUCAUUUGUUCCUUAAUUAGGAACUUGUAUGAAUGGUUUUAUGAGGGAUAAGCUUUCUUUAUUUUACUAUAAUGAAUUUAACUUUUAGGUUAAAAGGCUUAAAUGUUGUUAAGGGACGAUAAGACCCUAUAGAACUUUAUUUUCUUUUUUAUAUUUAUAUAUUUGAUGUUAAUUUUGUAUUUAUAUGGAUGAGAAUUUUGUUGGGGAGACAGGUAAAUUUGUAUAACUUAAUUUAUCUAAUUUAAAUAUCAUUAAUUUAUGUAUUUUUGAUCCAAUAAUAUUGAAUAUAAGAUUAAGUUACCUUAGGGAUAACAGCGUAAUUCUUUUAGAGAGUUCAUAUCAAUGAAGGAGUUUGCGACCUCGAUGUUGGAUUAAAAUAAGUNUGUGGCGCAGUAGAUAUGAGAUUAGGNCUGNUCGACCUUUAAAUUUUUACA
This 520-nucleotide ribosomal RNA is filed under the name Scotomedes sp. WCW-2003. Its description in RNAcentral is "partial 16S ribosomal RNA". It matches the Rfam family "Bacterial large subunit ribosomal RNA", at positions 1830 to 2600 of the family's 2925-position model. Lineage: Eukaryota; Metazoa; Arthropoda; Insecta; Hemiptera; Velocipedidae. The record is from RNAcentral.